GUCGUAUCGGAUUACUACGGUUACAGUGCAGAGUGCAGACUGACGUGCGGCAACACGGUAAGCAGAUGUAGUCUACAGACAUUACAGGGGUAAAAAAUUUGCGUACCGGCUGUAAACUUCUCUUCGUGUCUUCCCGGUAGCGAUUUUCUCUUAUAUCGCCUUCCCAGCACGGCGUACCGCUGAGUACAGGCUUACUUUCACCCCUGGACCUGGGUCAUGUGAAGUGAAGUCAGUAAACAACAACACAUGGUGGUGUUGAGUUUUGAAUAUUAAUUCUUAUUAAACCUAAAUGAACUGAGGGUUGGUACAGUUCAGUUUAACAGCUCACAGACCUGCAGGAGCAUCAUGGUGGAUUUCAACCCUCCAGAUUUUCAUUAAAGACAUGUUUGAUGAAUGACUUUAUUUUGAUAUCCAGUAAAAGACUAAAGUAUAGGUGGAUUACAAAUGACUCUUACUGUGUUUCAGUAGUUACACAAAAAAAGAGAUUAAAUUCUACAUAACUUCAGUCCACAGUCUAAUCUGAUGACCGCGCAAAAAUCAGAUAUUAUAAAGCUGGAAACGGUUUUAAUUUAGUUUUUAAAGAUUAACAAUUUACCCUGAUAGGUAGCGCCAAAAUAUUUAACAGGUCUAUAUCUACUUUAUAACCGACGUUCUUACCAAUUACCAGGUUGUGUAAAGUAUUUGAUUCUGAUAGGUCAAAUCCCCAAAACAACAGUGAUUGAAUCUCUACUGCUUCAGAAACAACCAAAUCACACAUGCUCUAUCAUAGCCAUGUGAAGGACAUGUGUGGCACAUUUCCCCUCUACCUGUUGGCACUGAGGCGGAAAUGUUUGGUUUUGUAAGAAUAUUUAAAUCGGUAAACAUUGUGGCAAAAUGACGAGAGGGACUGGGAAUACUUCUAGUGUCCACGCACCUGAACAUUUCUGAUAUGGAAAAAGAGGAGCAAGAUCCUGUCUCUGCAAUUACAGGCAGCUGCAGCACAGCUGGUGAGUGCAUCUCUGAUAGGUAGAUGGCUGCAUAAAGUAACCGAAACCGUACCUGGUAGAGAUAGUAUUGAAAAUCUAGAAAGUUUUGACAUUUGUAUCAUUUAUGUUUAAAGAUAUGUCAACUACGGAGGAAUCCUUUUGGUCCGUCUUUAAGAAAAAAACACUCGCAAUGGUGCUACGAUGAAAAUUUGUAUGACAGAGCUACUCAUCCAAGGAGAAGAAAAAUGGUUGUAUUCAUUUCUUUUUUUAAUAAGUAUAUAUGAUUCCACCUUAAGUUAGAAAAACUGAAUUUUAAAGUCCCCUUUCUGGCUUUUUUUUUUAUUUAUCUCUGAACCACAAGUCAUACUCUCUACCAGCAGAUGCAGUUUGCCUCUUUCAUACAGAUGUUUACAUUUUAUCCACCGACUUAGUUUCAAAGCUGAUUAGUAUGCGCUUUUUUCCCAGCGAGUCAGUCCCUGAAUACUUAGUGAUGGAUGCAACCUGGUCAUGCAAGUGAAAAUCAGCGUUAAGGCUGAAUGUGAGUGAAUGGCACAGCAACAAGCAGCCCACAUUGUGAAAGUGAUAUUACAAUGUGGUCUCUGUUAAUUAAGGCAACGAUGACAUUUGAAGCUGAGCGUGAAUUUGAUUAAAUGCAGAAAAUCAGCCCAUCCAUAUACAGUAUGACAUUUCAAGAUUUCCAUCCCAUUUCCCUCUCCUGCUCUGUUGAGCAUUAGAAAGCACAAGAGGCAUAUUUCACAGCUCCUCUCCUCUGGUGUCUAGUUUAGUUUAUGAUGAAGGAGAGUGGAAAGGAAUGAACACAUGACCUCACAUCCGAGUAUUUCCAGGCUGUCGUAGGAAUUUAUAAAAUUAAAUUACACAUUUUUAAUUGUAUUGUUCUGAAAUUCUCUCUCUCUCCACAUACGGUCAUUCCUCAGCUGAUCGGGGCUUUGCUAUGAGGGAAACCUAAUUAGUCUUCCUCCAAGCUACAUCAUAAUAGCCAGUGAAUGGCUAGCCUUGUCCUGACCUGUAAAAACAUAUCAAAAUGCACACAGAGUCCCUCUAUCAACCUAUUUGCGUGUGAAUACGUUGUUAAGCCUGUGUUGCCGCACAGACACUUCUUCUCAUCAUCUCCUUUCCCCAGUUUUCUAUGGGUGUGCUUAUUAGAAGAAAAACACGGUAUAAUAACACAAAAGCUGCCCUGAAUAAUUCGCUCUAAUUGGCAAAAAGGGGUGGGAACGGCCUCAGCAGAUAGACUGGCAAGAGUGUGGCCACCCAUCCAUCCACUUUUUAUUUUAUUUUGUAUGUUUGAGGUCAAAUGCACCCGCAUGCAUGUUUAAUUGGCUUUGAGAUGGCUUGGUGUUUCUGCUCUGAGUCAGAGCCACUUGCUUUUUCUAGAGCGUGCCUUUUCACUAUGUCUCAGCAAUAGAGUACUAUUUUAGGAACAAAUUAGGGGCCCAGAAAACAGUGACAUUUAGACAAUCGCUGCUGUGGCUGUGGCUGAUAGGGGAAGAGGACCAGGCGCUACUAUAUAGAGGGUUACUGUAGUGUGCUUUUAUGGAGAGACUGAAUAGUGGGAUGGACUCAUUGUUGAGGAGGCCCAGUGGUUUAGGCGAAUAGUUCCAGCGGUUUCUUAUAUAAAUUCAUAUAAAAAAAGUAUGAUACAGAAAAAGGCAAGAAAAUCAAAGCAAUAACUCUCCUUUUUUUAAUUUAUGUUUGACUUUCACCAGCUUAAAAAAGUGACUGGAUCGUCCCAAAUGUGCAAAUAACUUCCCAAUGAGCAUUACUCCAAGAAGUCUUUGACCAAUAGCUGCUCUUACAUGGGCACAAAUAAUCAGAAUAAAUGCCCGAUCGGAAUAAAAAUGCGUCAUGUAAACAUGUCAAUCAGAAGAUUCUGAUCCAAUUCAGCUCAAUCGGAAAGAAACUGUAUUCUGAUCGAGGGGGGUGGUUUAUGCCGAUCAUUAUUUCAAAACGCGUCCAUCUAAACACUUAUUCCGAUCGUGACUCUCGUACCUGACUUUAUUGAGGCAGUACAGGAGGUUUCAUUAUUAACGCUCUGGCAUAAAACACAACCGCAGCUGCUGUGACCACUCCUCUGAUAACAUAACAGGGCGUACGUACAGCGUAAUGAUGUCACAUUUGCAUGCACAGAGCAACCUUUGACAGAACAGUAAAAUAAGUACGCAAGGGCGCCAUCUAGUGACAACAUUUAACAGGGGGAAAACUCUUGAAUUGGAGGGAGUGAGCCACUCCUGCGUUUAUUGUUUUUUUUGAUACAACUCUUCUUCUGCAGUUGUGUUAGCGGAAUCAGACAAAUGUCCAAAUGCUUCUAAUUUCAUAUAAACAGUGGAUUCAGAUUAUCCGAUCCCUCAAAUUUUUAAUCGGAUCACGAAAUUUUGCACAUGUAAACAUGGCUACUGUUUUAGGGAUGUUGAAAAAUGGGCGAGGAAUGAAAGGUUUUCUGAAGGCGUCAACUGUCAAUGUUGAGAGACUGGUAUCCCGUACGAUGGUGCUUUUCUUGCGCAAUUUUCAUCAGUUUUUUGCACACAUCGAUAGUGAUUUUCCACGUCACUUCUUGUAUACAUUUUCACUAAAAUAUUGCAUCACAGUGCAUCAAACUAAAUUCUUAAGAAAAAGCAGCAGGGUGAAAAAUUGCAACUCCCCACACAAUAGCUAGAUGCCUGUCAGCCUAGCUUAAGAGCUCCUGCUGUUUGUGGUUUCAAUCAACUCUGUCAGCGAGUCUGUGUAGUCAGAGCAGCACAGUCAACUGCUCCCUUUAAAAUUCCUCUUGACCUUUUGUUAUCAUCACAGCCUGUGAAGCUUUAAAAAAAUACAACAUGUGGAAAUCACAUCUUUUGCUUAGACAGGAAUCAAAUUUCUUCUGGAAAACUACUUUGAAGAAAAACCAUCACAAUUAUCUUUUCACUUUUAAAUGGCCGUAAAUCAAAAUUUGAGGUGUUUUCAGACAUGUCAAUGUUGCAAAGCCUUUUGAAUACCGGUUGAAAUUAGGUGUUGGACUUUCAGACCUGAUUUCAACAUUUUUUCAGCUUAAUUUAAUCUACUAGAGAGACAGAACAUCAACAGGAUGUUUCUUUUUUAUUACAUUAUUUACUGAGUAUCGUAGAAUAAUGAUUCUGAAUUUGACAUCAAACUUCUUCUGGAAAAUUACUUUGAAGAAAAAUCAUCACAAUUAUCUUUUCCAAUCACUUUUAAAUGUCCCUAAAUCCAAAUCUGAAUAAUGAUUCUGAAUUUGACAUCAAACUUCGUGUCACCGUUGAUUUUGGGGGACCUUAUUUGACCAUAUUUCCCCGGCGUGAUGCACUCCUAAGAGGCCAACGAAAAAAGUCUCAAUACCAAGUAUAAUAAAUGUUGAAAAAGUUCCAAAUGCUUUGUAUCAGUACAAUAAAACACUUCACUUGACACCCUAAAAAAAUAUCAUGGUCACAGAAGGGUUGCAGAGAUUUUUCAGUCCAAUUGAAAUGCUAAAGUUGAUGAAUGUAUUAAAAUGUCAGCGGCUGUCAUCGACCAUUACUCUGCAAUGAUUGAAAAACUGUUUCUAUAGUCUGCUGAGGCACUGUAUGAAAUAUUAUAAUUUUAAUUCAGAAGGUCAGUGUCAAGUUCUUCAGAAAUACUUUCAUAGAAUUUAAUAUUUGAUUUCUUUACACCCAUGCUGACUUUAAAAUGUGGUCACCUUAACAUUUUGUGUGAUCACUCUUUGUUUUCAGUAUUCUGGCAACAAAAUAUAAGCAAUGAAAUGAGUAGUUAUUGAUCUAUUAGUCUUACUUUUAGGCUAACCAGUGUAAACUCAAGUUAGGAUCAAAGGAAGCCAAUGAACUUUUCCCUUCACAGUUUCAUCAUCACUCCGAGAUGUGAAAUGGAUUUAGUGUUUCAGCUUGCUCUGGCUUAUUCACCUUCCUCUUGAUCUCCAAAACCAGUCAGAAAUGAAAUUAAAAAUAAUAUCUGUAAUUUUUAUGAGCUCCAAAUCUGUGAUGAGGAUUGUAUUUGACAACAUAAAUGUUAGGUUUUGUUGAAAGAUAAUUCAAUAGAGCUGUAGUGGACAGAGAAGUAGCCCUAGUUUUUAAAAAUGAAAGCAUAAUUGGACAUGCUGUUCCCAGACUAAUAAUUAUGUAAGGCUAUUUGUCUUGUUUGCCUUGGAAGUGAUGGGGAGGGGGAACAUGUUUCAUUCUGUUUCAUAGUGUGGAGAGUGAGGAGAAGCAUGUACAAGCACGACACCUUAUGCGCAGGAAUUUUUCUCACCUCACUUUUCACAAUUUUUAAAGUGUAAAUCUUCAGACCUUGAGAUUAUUCUUUCUGUUUAACGUGUCUGCUCUCUCUAACGUGUGCGUUUACACACUUAACUAUUGUUUUUCUAUUUGUUUGCUGCUAUUGUUGUUGAAGCCAUUCAUCAACAUAUAAAAAUAAGGUUCUUUGGAGAUACUUCGAUCUCACAUUGUAUUUUUCUUACCUAAUCAGUUCUUUCCGUCUGUGUCUGUAAGCACUUUGUACGUCUCACAAAAGGUAACAGUUUUUUUUCUCUCUUCAUAAUGUAUCUGCGUCCUCUUUUCAAAUCACUUAUGCAAGAAGAAUGCGCUCAUAUAACAGAGACAGGAAAAGAAGCAGACGUGUGUGUUGUCUGUAUCUUGUCGCCUGUUAAACUCCGCAUGCACAGACGAGAACACUGUUAACAAACCCAGUGACCCCUCCCCUCAUAAGACUACGUUUACACGUGCCCAGCUAUUUUCAUAAA
This is a non-coding RNA of Xyrichtys novacula (pearly razorfish), 5709 nucleotides long. The record is from the annotation of a GenBank genome assembly. Lineage: Eukaryota; Metazoa; Chordata; Actinopteri; Labriformes; Labridae.